AACGAACGCUGGCGGCAGGCCUAACACAUGCAAGUCGAACGCCGUAGCAAUACGGAGUGGCAGACGGGUGAGUAACGCGUGGGAACAUACCCCUCGGUUCGGAAUAACUUAGGGAAACGUUAGAGCUAAUAACCGGGACUACGUCCGGAGGUUUUAACCGGUCCUCGGAGAAAGAUUUAUCGCCGGAGGAUUGGCCCGCGUCUGAUUAGCUUGUUGGUGAGGUAAUGGCUCACCAAGGCGACGAUCAGUAGCGGUCUGAGAGGAUGAUCAGCCACAUUGGGAC
RNAcentral lists this ribosomal RNA (283 nucleotides) under uncultured bacterium. RNAcentral describes it as "partial 16S ribosomal RNA". It matches the Rfam family "Bacterial small subunit ribosomal RNA", at positions 29 to 319 of the family's 1533-position model. The record is from RNAcentral.